GCAUAUCAAUAAGCGGAGGAAAAGAAACCAACAGGGAUUGCCUCAGUAACGGCGAGUGAAGCGGCAACAGCUCAAAUUUGAAAUCUGGCUCUUUCAGGGUCCGAGUUGUAAUUUGUAGAGGAUGUUUCGGGUGUGGCUCCGGUCUAAGUUCCUUGGAACAGGACGUCAUAGAGGGUGAGAAUCCCGUAUGUGACUGGUAGCCUAUGCUCAUGUGAAACUCCUUCGACGAGUCGAGUUGUUUGGGAAUGCAGCUCAAAAUGGGUGGUAAAUUUCAUCUAAAGCUAAAUAUUGGCCAGAGACCGAUAGCGCACAAGUAGAGUGAUCGAAAGAUGAAAAGCACUUUGGAAAGAGAGUUAAACAGUACGUGAAAUUGUUGAAAGGGAAGCGCUUGCAACCAGACUUGCAUGUAGCUGAUCAACCGGUGUUCUCACCGGUGCACUCAGUUGCGUUCAGGCCAGCAUCGGUUUCGACGGUUGGAUAAAGGCCUUGGGAAUGUAGCUUCUUUCGGGGAGUGUUAUAGCCCAGGGUGCAAUGCAGCCUGUCGGGACCGAGGACCGCGCUUCGGCUAGGAUGCUGGCGUAAUGGUUGUAAGCGACCCGUCUUGAAACACGGACCAAGGAGUCUAACAUCUAUGCGAGUGUUUGGGUGUCAAACCCAUACGCGUAAUGAAAGUGAACGGAGGUGAGAACCCUUAAGGGUGCAUCAUCGACCGAUCCUGAUGUCUUCGGAUGGAUUUGAGUAAGAGCAUAGCUGUUGGGACCCGAAAGAUGGUGAACUAUGCCUGAAUAGGGUGAAGCCAGAGGAAACUCUGGUGGAGGCUCGCAGCGGUUCUGACGUGCAAAUCGAUCGUCAAAUUUGGGUAUAGGGGCGAAAGACUAAUCGAACCAUCUAGUAGCUGGUUCCUGCCGAAGUU
RNAcentral lists this ribosomal RNA (913 nucleotides) under Ceuthospora sp. CLX2362. Its description in RNAcentral is "eukaryotic LSU rRNA". It matches the Rfam family "Eukaryotic large subunit ribosomal RNA", at positions 38 to 968 of the family's 3401-position model. The record is from RNAcentral. Lineage: Eukaryota; Fungi; Ascomycota; Leotiomycetes; Phacidiales; Phacidiaceae.